GUCCCUGUAGCUCAGUGGAUAGAGCAGCUGCCUUCUAAGCAGCGGGUCACAGGUUCGAAUCCUGUCAGGGACGCCA
Molecule: transfer RNA, 76 nt
Filed under: Chloroflexota bacterium
Lineage: Bacteria; Bacillati; Chloroflexota
Also listed under: 1 other name
Description: Chloroflexi bacterium tRNA-Arg
Rfam family: tRNA
About the family: Transfer RNA (tRNA) molecules are approximately 80 nucleotides in length. Their secondary structure includes four short double-helical elements and three loops (D, anti-codon, and T loops).
Source: RNAcentral